This is a long non-coding RNA of Oncorhynchus tshawytscha (Chinook salmon), 1679 nucleotides long. The record is from Ensembl. Lineage: Eukaryota; Metazoa; Chordata; Actinopteri; Salmoniformes; Salmonidae.
AAUGGACAGACGGGACAGGAGUGAAAUGACGUUCUGAGUUAACUACACUCCAGGACUUGAACACUUCAGACAAUGAGGACAAACAGGUGACAGGGAUGAAGACUGUGUUGAGCUCGUGUGGUUCUGUGACGCUUCUCAAGAAGCCUGAUCCUCCCUGCCUCUGGUCACAACCCAAGUGUCCUGACAUUAAACAUCCUGGACAUGGAAUCAAAUCAAAUCAAAUCAAACUCUCCCCUACUGAACACAGACGUCAGUGCUUCCUCUGCCCUGAGCCUUUACGUACCCAACACCUGACCUUUGCCCCUGAUGCAGCAGACUGAACAACGGGUUGAACUGUGACCCGGACUAUGUUGAGUAGACUCCAACACCUGACCUCUGACCCUGAUGCAGCAGACUGAACAACGGGUUGACCUGUGACCCGGACCAUGUUCAGUAGACUCCAACACCUGACCUCUGCCCUUGAUGCAGCAGACUGAACAACGGGUUGACCUGUGACCCGGACCAUGUUCAGUAGACUCCAACACCUGACCUCUGCCCUUGAUGCAGCAGACUGAACAACGGGUUGACCUGUGACCUGGACCAUGUUCAGGACCAUGUUCAGUAGACUCCAAUGGGACGAACACAUUUAAACGGGGGAGGUUCUACCAGAAUUGAGCAAAUCGAAACGCUGAAAAAUGUAUUUUUGUUGAUUCUUUGUAUUUUGUCUCAUUGGUUGUUUUUCCUCCUUGUUUAGGAGCUGCUACAGUGUUUCCCAGACCCCAAGUCCUCCCAUUUACCAAUGUUUCCCAAGUCCUCCCCUUUACCAGUGUUUCCCAGACCCCAAGUCCUCCCAUUUACCAAUGUUUCCCAAGUCCUCCCCUUUACCAGUGUUUCCCAGACCCCAAGUCCUCCCAUUUACCAAUGUUUCCCAAACCCCAAGUCCUCCCAUUUACCAAUGUUUCCCAAGUCCUCCCCUUUACCAGUGUUUCCCAAGUCCUCCCCUUUACCAGUGUUUCCCAGACCCCAAGUCCUCCCAUUUACCAAUGUUUCCCAGACCCCAAGUCCUCCCAUUUACCAAUGUUUCCCAGACCCCAAGUCCUCCCAUUUACCAAUGUUUCCCAAGUCCUCCCCUUUACCAGUGUUUCCCAGACCCCAAGUCCUCCCAUUUACCAAUGUUUCCCAAGUCCUCUCCUUUACCAGUGUUUCCCAGACCCCAAGUCCUCCCAUUUACCAAUGUUUCCCAGACUCCAAGUCCUCCCAUUUACCAGUGUUUCCCAGACCCCAAGUCCUCCCCUUUACCAGUGUUUCCCAGACCCCAAGUCCUCCCAUUUACCAAUGUUUCCCAAGUCCUCUCCUUUACCAGUGUUUCCCAGACCCCAAGUCCCCCCUUUACCAGUGUUUCCCAGACUCCAAGUCCUCCCCUUUACCAGUGUUUCCCAGACCCCAAGUCCUCCCCUUUACCAGUGUUUCCCAGACCCCAAGUCCUCCCCUUUACCAGUGUUUCCCAGACCCCAAGUCCCCCCUUUACCAGUUGUUUCCCAUGUCCUGUCCUCCCCUUUACCAGUGUUUCCCAUGUCCUGUCCCCCCUUUACCAGUUGUUUCCCAUGUCCUGUCCCCCCUUUUACCAGUGUUUCCCAUGUCCUGUCCCCCCUUUACCAGUGUUUCCCAUGUCCUGUCCCCCCUUUACCAGUGUUUCCCAU